This 632-nucleotide ribosomal RNA is filed under the name Streptomyces griseoaurantiacus. RNAcentral describes it as "partial 23S ribosomal RNA". It matches the Rfam family "Bacterial large subunit ribosomal RNA", at positions 2300 to 2925 of the family's 2925-position model. Lineage: Bacteria; Bacillati; Actinomycetota; Actinomycetes; Kitasatosporales; Streptomycetaceae. The record is from RNAcentral.
ACGGAGGCGCCCAAAGGUUCCCUCAGCCUGGUUGGUAAUCAGGUGGUGAGUGUAAGUGCACAAGGGAGCUUGACUGUGAGACCGACGGGUCGAGCAGGGACGAAAGUCGGGACUAGUGAUCCGGCGGUGGCUUGUGGAAGCGCCGUCGCUCAACGGAUAAAAGGUACCCCGGGGAUAACAGGCUGAUCUUCCCCAAGAGUCCAUAUCGACGGGAUGGUUUGGCACCUCGAUGUCGGCUCGUCGCAUCCUGGGGCUGGAGUCGGUCCCAAGGGUUGGGCUGUUCGCCCAUUAAAGCGGUACGCGAGCUGGGUUUAGAACGUCGUGAGACAGUUCGGUCCCUAUCCGCUGCGCGCGUAGGAGUCUUGAGAAGGGCUGUCCCUAGUACGAGAGGACCGGGACGGACGAACCUCUGGUGUGCCAGUUGUUCUGCCAAGGGCAUGGCUGGUUGGCUACGUUCGGGAGGGAUAACCGCUGAAAGCAUCUAAGCGGGAAGCCUGCUUCGAGAUGAGGACUCCCACCCACUUGAUGGGGUAAGGCUCCCAGUAGACGACUGGGUUGAUAGGCCGGAUCUGGAAGCCAGGUAACUGGUGGAGGUGACCGGUACUAAUAGGCCGAGGGCUUGUCCUCAGUUG